GGGGAAUAAAGGAAUAAAGGGCUCGUCAGUCCAACCACGUUGAAAACUUGGACUUCUCAGCUGAAAAUCCGGGUUNNNNNNNNNNNNNNNNNNNNNNNUCAGCAGCGCAAAUACUGUCAGAUCCGAGGGCUUGAGGCUACUUCUCUGUGGCCUGACGCCCUGCUGUCCACGCCUUCAGCUCCCCCAGCCUCGGCCUUUGUGCCCAAGGCUCUGCCCUUGGAGUCUUUUGUCCUUUUUCUUGACAGGUAGCAUAUGUUUGAAGCUGAGUCGCUCUGUCACCCCAUUUCCUGCCUGUAGAACCCCAGAAUUCCAGCAGCUUUCCCUCAUUUCAUCCUGUCUCUGUCCUCUUCUGUCCCAGCUGGCAGCACUUCUGCUGAUACCACAUUCUCAGGCGCCUUGUGGGUCUCCCACGUGUGUCCCAGGGAUCCACGUUGCUGGGUAAGAGGCUUCUCCAGAGACCUUUCGGGAUGACCCCUCCCUGUCCCUAGCUUGUGCUGAGGUUGUUGAAUGGUUCUUUGAAAAAGUGUCCAGUGGACGCCUUGGCACUCUCUCCAGAACGCACCCUGACACGAGUCUCCCCACGUCAGUAGCUUCCGCCGCCUGAACGGGCUGCGGGUACCCGGAGCACCUGUGCUGGUUCCUUCUCUGCCAACAUUUCCUUCCACAAUUAACCUCUUUCCUCCUGCACUUUGCAACAAGGAACAAGAAAAAAACAGGUCCUACCUUUUGCGCUUUGGGGGAAUCUUUUUAGGGCCUCACCUGCGGCAUAUGGAGUUUCCCAGGCUAAGGGUAGACUCAGAGCUACAGCUGCCGGCUUACACCACAGCCACAGCAAUGCCAGAUCCGAGCCACAUCUGUGGCCUACGCCACAGCUCAUGCAACACCCAAUCCUUAACCCACUGAUCGAGGCCGGGGAAUGAACCCCCAUCCUCAUGCAUGCCAGUCGGAUUCGUUUCCACUGCGCCGCAAAGGGAACUCCCAGGUUCAUCACUUAUAAACUGCACUUGCCACCCCGCAGUGGAACACUCGACGUUCAGCCAAGUUUUCUGCCAGAGUUUAAUACACAUCACCUUUCCUUCAGCUUCUGGUGACAUCUCCGAUUGGACCCCUAGCCUGGGAGCCUCUAUAGUCCAUGGGUGCGGCCCUAAAAAGGCGAAAAAAAAAAAAGGAAAACCUAGAAUCAUGUUUGCAUUGGCUCGACGUUCUAUGUAAAGGAAUUGCAGAGGGAUAAACAGGAAGCCAGUAAUGACAGUGACUUCCACUGUGCAGGGCUGGGGAGGCGACAAGCCAGUAGGACCUUCACUGCUGGGGUGGGGGGUUCCUGCUCAAACACAAUCUUUUUAAAAAGUUUCCAAGUUAUUUGCAAGGUAUUAGCGGCGCCUGGAAGGUCUCAGGCCCUACACCUGCCAGCACCCAGUGCUGUGAUUCCAGGCAAACAACAGAACCUCACCGAGCCGAUACAACAUCAUGUGAUCAGUAAAGGAGGCAAUUAUUAACUGCGGUGGCCAGUGGGGCGGGGUCGCAGCUCCAGCCCCACCGAGGGUCCCCUGCCAGCGGGGGUGUGGUGAUGUUGCAUCUGGCGACAUGAAGCUCCUGCAUCUGGUUCUUGCGCUUGCAGACCUUUCUGCACUGAAGUUCGGGCUGAUUUUUAUUAUGUUAAUCCAAGGUAGUUUAUAUCCUGUGUUGUGAACAUUAAAAAUAUUAAGCAGGAGUUCCCGUCGUGGCGCAGUGGUUAACGAAUCCGACUAGGAACCAUGAGGUUGUGGGUUCGAUCCCUGCCCUUGCUCAAUGGGUUAAGGAUCCGGCGUGGCCGUGAGCUGUGGUGUAGCUCGCAGACACGGCUCGGAUCCUGCGUUGCUGUGGCUGUGGGGUAGGCUGGCAGUGACAGCUCUGAUGAGACUCCUCGCCUGGGAACCUCCAUAUGCC
This 1926-nucleotide long non-coding RNA is filed under the name Sus scrofa (pig). RNAcentral's name for it is "lncRNA (ENSSSCG00005032354.1)". The record is from RNAcentral. Lineage: Eukaryota; Metazoa; Chordata; Mammalia; Artiodactyla; Suidae.